This 490-nucleotide ribosomal RNA is filed under the name uncultured bacterium. Its description in RNAcentral is "partial 16S ribosomal RNA". It matches the Rfam family "Bacterial small subunit ribosomal RNA", at positions 30 to 507 of the family's 1533-position model. The record is from RNAcentral.
UGAACGCUAGCUACAGGCUUAACACAUGCAAGUCGAGGGGCAGCGGUAUCGAAAGCUUGCUUUCGGUAGCCGGCGACCGGCGCACGGGUGAGUAACGCGUAUCGAACCUGCCUCAUACUCGGGAAUAGCCUUGCGAAAGUAAGAUUAAUGCCCGGUGUUUUCAGAGUCCCGCAUGAGGCUUUGAACAAAGAUUUAUCGGUAUGAGAUGGCGAUGCGUCCCAUUAGCUUGUUGGCGGGGUAACGGCCCACCAAGGCAUCGAUGGGUAGGGGUUCUGAGAGGAAGGUCCCCCACAUUGGAACUGAGACACGGUCCAAACUCCUACGGGAGGCAGCAGUGAGGAAUAUUGGUCAAUGGGCGGAAGCCUGAACCAGCCAAGUAGCGUGCAGGAAGACGGCCCUCCGGGUUGUAAACUGCUUUUAGUUGGGAAUAAAACGGGGCUCGUGAGCCCCCUUGCAUGUACCAUCAGAAAAAGGACCGGCUAAUUCCGUG